AGUCGAGCGGAUGAGAGGAGCUUGCUCCUUGAUUUAGCGGCGGACGGGUGAGUAAUGCCUAGGAAUCUGCCUGGUAGUGGGGGAUAACGUUCCGAAAGGAACGCUAAUACCGCAUACGUCCUACGGGAGAAAGCAGGGGACCUUCGGGCCUUGCGCUAUCAGAUGAGCCUAGGUCGGAUUAGCUAGUUGGUGAGGUAAUGGCUCACCAAGGCGACGAUCCGUAACUGGUCUGAGAGGAUGAUCAGUCACACUGGAACUGAGACACGGUCCAGACUCCUACGGGAGGCAGCAGUGGGGAAUAUUGGACAAUGGGCGAAAGCCUGAUCCAGCCAUGCCGCAUGUGUGAAGAAGGUCUUCGGAUUGUAAAGCACUUUAAGUUGGGAGGAAGGGCAGUAAGCUAAUACCUUGCUGUUUUGACGUUACCGACAGAAUAAGCACCGGCUAACUUCGUGCCAGCAGCCGCGGUAAUACGAAGGGUGCAAGCGUUAAUCGGAAUUACUGGGCGUAAAGCGCGCGUAGGUGGUUCGUUAAGUUGGAUGUGAAAGCCCCGGGCUCAACCUGGGAACUGCAUCCAAAACUGGCGAGCUAGAGUACGGUAGAGGGUGGUGGAAUUUCCUGUGUAGCGGUGAAAUGCGUAGAUAUAGGAAGGAACACCAGUGGCGAA
Molecule: ribosomal RNA, 664 nt
Filed under: uncultured bacterium
Lineage: Bacteria
Description: bacterial SSU rRNA
Rfam family: Bacterial small subunit ribosomal RNA
Source: RNAcentral